Molecule: long non-coding RNA, 545 nt
Filed under: Homo sapiens (human)
Lineage: Eukaryota; Metazoa; Chordata; Mammalia; Primates; Hominidae
Description: HSALNT0348029
Source: RNAcentral
ACAGUCACAGAUCACUGCAGGCUUGACUGCCCAGGCCCAGACGAUUCUCCCACCUUAGCCUCCUGAAUAGCUGGAACUACAGUUCUGGAGCCGUCCGUGGGAGGAAGAGUGGAGGAAGAGGAGGCGGAAGAAGGAAGGAGGAAGGGCCGUACCAAGUCACCGGUGAACGUUCCCAGCACGCACAGGACUCCUCCCAGAAACAGACAGGUGGAAGCUGACCACUAAAAGCUGGCUAGAGAGAGCCAGGGCACUCAGGACUUGGGGGAGAGUUGAAGUAUUAUGUUGGCAAAAGACUCUAUGGGUAUCCUCACUUGACUAGAAGAAGGAUUACUUUUUCCUUGGACCCAGGAAUCUGCUGAGGUGUUCACAGCUGCCUGCCUGCCUGCCGUGUCAGAUAGUAGAAGUGGUGUGAUGAUGACCAAGUUGGAUGGUGAAUGGAAGAUUCUCGACACCAGAUCUAUGAUAACUUUCUGUGUUUCAAGUGUCACUGUUUAAGCUACUCUAAAUUAAAGAAGAGCAAAUUAAAAAGGCAAAUUAAAGAAGAA